This 437-nucleotide long non-coding RNA is filed under the name Malurus cyaneus samueli. RNAcentral describes it as "lncRNA (ENSMCSG00000007168.1)". The record is from RNAcentral. Lineage: Eukaryota; Metazoa; Chordata; Aves; Passeriformes; Maluridae.
UGACCCAAAUGGCCCCAAAACGCCACUGAGCCGCUGCCCCCUCCCCAGCCUGCCCACGCCCUGGAUCUGCUCCCGUAUUCCCGGCUGAGCCCGGCACCGCGGGCUGCAUCCCAGCUGGAUGCCGUUGGCGCCGAGAUCCCGUCAGAUCCCUGCACAGGGUACCGGUUCUUCAAGCCGGGGGGUUUGUUUGGGAUGAAGCCACCGGAGGAGCCAUUCGGAGCUGCGCGGACGGGCCCGGAGGAUUCCAAGGCCCUGGGCAGUCCCUGCGCUGUGGAGCCUGGGCGGGUGAGCAAGGUGGAACCCGAGGAGAAGCCCGGCAUCGGCGCCGGCUCCCUGGAGCUGUUCCCGGCCGCGGGCGGCAGCUCUGGCCGCUGGUUCCCUGGCGGGCAGCGCGGGCCUGAGCCCCCCCGGGACCCCCCGGCCCCCCGAGCUGGCUG